GCGAUAGGUCACUACUUCUGGAAUGGGUAAUGACUCAAACCUAUAUGGCCCCUGGAUUGGACUGCGGCCGAUCAGGCUGUUGGUGAGGUAAUGGCCCACCAAACCUGUAACCGGUACGGGCUCUGAGAGGAGGAGCCCGGAGAUGGGCACUGAGACAAGGGCCCAGGCCCUAUGGGGCGCAGCAGGCGCGAAACCUCUGCAAUAGGCGAAAGCCUGACAGGGUUACUCUGAGUGAUCUCCGUUAAGGAGAUCUUUUGGCACCUCUAAAAAUGGUGCAGAAUAAGGGGUGGGCAAGUCUGGUGUCAGCCGCCGCGGUAAUACCAGCACCCCGAGUGGUCGGGACGUUUAUUGGGCCUAAAGCAUCCGUAGCCGGUUCUACAAGUCUUCCGUUAAAUCCAGCUGCUUAACAGAUGGGCUGCGGAAGAUACUAUGGAGCUAGGAGGCGGGAGAGGCAAGCGGUACUCGAUGGGUAGGGGUAAAAUCCGUUGAUCCAUUGAAGACCACCAGUGGCGAAGGCGGCUUGCCAGAACGCGCUCGACGGUGAGGGACGAAAGCUGGGGGAGCAAACCGGAUUAGAUACCCGGGUAGUCCCAGCUGUAAACGAUGCAGACUCGGUGAUGAGUUGGCUACAUGCCAUCUCAGUGCCGCAGGGAAGCCGUUAAGUUUGCCGCC
This 672-nucleotide ribosomal RNA is filed under the name uncultured archaeon. RNAcentral's name for it is "bacterial SSU rRNA". It matches the Rfam family "Archaeal small subunit ribosomal RNA", at positions 153 to 828 of the family's 1478-position model. The record is from RNAcentral.